GUCCUGCCCCGCUCCGCCCUGAGUCCCGCCCAGCCUUGCGUCCCAUCCCCAGUCCCGAAUUGCUCCGCCGGGUGCUCUCUGAUCGGCCUCGACCCGUCUGGCACAGCCUAUGCGAUCAGCCUGAGCCCGGUGGGCGCGAUCCCUGGCCGGCCGGGCAGAUGCUGGGCGCGAUGGCCGACCUUGCCCUCGCCCCGGUAACGCGGCAGGUCAGCGGCCGCGCCGCCCCGGCCGCAGUCCCUAGCGGCCCCGAGCGCGGGCAGCCCCUGGCCGCAACAGUGGCCGAGCUGUCUGUGCUGGACGCCUCCGGGAGGCAGGUGCCGUUCGGCGCGCUGUUUCGGGAGCGCCGGGUUAUCGUGGUCUUCGUGAGGCAUUUCCUGUGUUACAUCUGCAAGGAAUACGUAGAAGAUCUGGCCAAAAUCCCCAAGAGUUUCUUACAAGAAGCAAAUGUCACCCUUAUAGUGAUUGGACAGUCAUCCUACCAUCAUAUUGAGCCUUUCUGCAAACUGACUGGGUAUUCUCAUGAAAUCUAUGUUGAUCCUGAGAGAGAAAUUUAUAAAAAAUUAGGAAUGAAAAGAGGUGAAGAAAUUGCCCCUUCAGGAAAGAGUCCCCAUAUAAAAUCAAAUGUACUCUCGGGAAGCAUUCAGAGCCUGUGGAGGGCAGUGACUGGCCCUCUUUUUGAUUUUCAAGGAGACCCUGCUCAGCAAGGUGGAACCCUCAUUUUAGGUCCAGGUAACAACAUCCAUUUUAUACACCGUGAUAGAAAUAGGUUGGAUCACAAACCCAUCAACUCUGUUUUACAGCUUGUAGGAGUUCAGCAUGUGGACUUUACAAGCAGAUCUUCAGUUAUCCAUGUGUGAUGUGGGGCCAGAGUGAUAACAUGGACCAUGUGAAACUGGGAGACAAACUUUCUAAAGAAGAAACAUCAUCUACUCCAAAGUUACCAGUUAUUUUAAGAAGAGUGUUCCAGAAAAUAAUUAAAGAUGUACAGUUACAGAAGGGUGAAUCUACCUAGGAGAAAGGAAUAUUUUGGAGAACUUCUUCCCUAGUUCUUUUGCUUUUCACUGUGCUGCCCAUAAUGCUGAAGAUUAUAACCAGAUGCAUCUGUUUUCUAAGCUCAGACAAGUCAAGGAAAGACAACUGGAAUCUUGAAGAAUGUUUCAGUAUCCACUCCAGCCCUGCACUGUCACUUCUGUGGGUUCCCAUGUCCUCACUGUGAAAUGGCAGCCUUGGACCAAAUAUUGUCUAAAGUGCUUUCAAGCUCUAAAAUUUUAUGAUCAAUGGUCAAACAGUGAACAAUAAACUAACCAAUCAACCAAGCAAACUGAACUACAUUUCUUAUGGCCAAUUUCUCAGAGUUUAGAGAUUAGCUUAUUAAAUGUCAGUAAGAGUCAAAUUACUCAAGAGAAGUGCCACACAUGAAAACAAAUAUCGUAGAAAGACCACUUUUCUGUCACUACCUAAACAUGACCUAAAAAGAAAAUAUAAACAGGGUUUAAAAUUUCGAUGUGUGAGAGCAAGUUUAAGUGUCAGACUUUGCCUCAGGUCAUGAUCUGGAGGUUGGUGAGUUUGAGCCCUGCAUCGGGCUCUGUGCUAACAGCUCAGAACCUGCAGCCUACUUUGGAUUUUGUAUCCUCCCCUCUCUCUGGCCCUACCCGGCUUGUGCUCUCUCUCAAAAAUAAAU
This is an RNA transcript of Panthera uncia (snow leopard), 1681 nucleotides long. It is a transcript of the gene named peroxiredoxin like 2C, with no coding region annotated. The record is from RefSeq and is a predicted model, not a curated record. The transcript has 8 exons. NCBI's taxonomy places the organism in Eukaryota, Metazoa, Chordata, Mammalia, Carnivora, Felidae.